Molecule: long non-coding RNA, 316 nt
Filed under: Bos taurus (domestic cattle)
Lineage: Eukaryota; Metazoa; Chordata; Mammalia; Artiodactyla; Bovidae
Description: long non-coding RNA NONBTAT025811
Source: RNAcentral
GGAAAUAUUAGAUUUUCUGCAAUUUCUUAUUCUCCAAGCAAACAAAAACCAUGACAGUAUUUAUUCACAUGCUUUACUAUUGUUGACUGCUGGAUUAAUUUUUGAAAUAAUGGAAGAACAUGUUAGCUAAAAGUUUCUGUUUGUCUCAACUCAGGUGGCAGAAUGUUGCAUACCAACCACCUCUUUCUGCAGUGCAGGGUUGUUUCAUUUUUCUUCUUUUCUAGGGCACCAAGCCAACUUCCAUUUUAAGGUACAUUCUCUGCCAGCAAAAUCAUACAAUUUCCAAACAACUUAGAUUCCCAUUGGAGCUACAUGA